Molecule: ribosomal RNA, 497 nt
Filed under: uncultured bacterium
Lineage: Bacteria
Description: partial 16S ribosomal RNA
Rfam family: Bacterial small subunit ribosomal RNA
Source: RNAcentral
GACGAACGCUGGCGGCGUGCCUAAUACAUGCAAGUUGAGCGAUGAAGAUUGGUGCUUGCACCAAUUUGAAGAGCAGCGAACGGGUGAGUAACGCGUGGGGAAUCUGCCUUUGAGCGGGGGACAACAUUUGGAAACGAAUGCUAAUACCGCAUAACAACUUUAAACAUAAGUUUUAAGUUUGAAAGAUGCAAUUGCAUCACUCAAAGAUGAUCCCGCGUUGUAUUAGCUAGUUGGUGAGGUAAAGGCUCACCAAGGCGAUGAUACAUAGCCGACCUGAGAGGGUGAUCGGCCACAUUGGGACUGAGACACGGCCCAAACUCCUACGGGAGGCAGCAGUAGGGAAUCUUCGGCAAUGGACGAAAGUCUGACCGAGCAACGCCGCGUGAGUGAAGAAGGGUUUCGGAUCGUAAAACUCUGUUGGUAGGGAAGAACGUUGGUGAGAGUGGAAAGCUCAUCAAGUGACGGUAACUACCCAGAAAGGGACGGCUAACUACGUG